Molecule: ribosomal RNA, 483 nt
Filed under: uncultured bacterium
Lineage: Bacteria
Description: partial 16S ribosomal RNA
Rfam family: Bacterial small subunit ribosomal RNA
Source: RNAcentral
GACGAACGCUGGCGGCGUGCUUAACACAUGCAAGUCGAACGCUGAAGCUCAGCUUUUGUUGGGUGGAUGAGUGGCGAACGGGUGAGUAACACGUGAGUAACCUGCCCCCUUCUUUGGGUUAACGCCCGGAAACGGGUGCUAAUACUGGAUAUUCACUGGUCUUCGCAUGGGGGUUGGUGGAAAGGGUUUUUCUGGUGGGGGAUGGGCUCGCGGCCUAUCAGCUUGUUGGUGGGGUGAUGGCCUACCAAGGCUUUGACGGGUAGCCGGCCUGAGAGGGUGACCGGUCACAUUGGGACUGAGAUACGGCCCAGACUCCUACGGGAGGCAGCAGUGGGGAAUAUUGCACAAUGGGCGCAAGCCUGAUGCAGCGACGCCGCGUGAGGGAUGGAGGCCUUCGGGUUGUGAACCUCUUUCGCUCAUGGUCAAGCCGCAACAAUGGUUGUGGUGAGGGUAGUGGGUAAAGAAGCGCCGGCUAACUACGUG